This 920-nucleotide ribosomal RNA is filed under the name uncultured bacterium. RNAcentral's name for it is "bacterial SSU rRNA". It matches the Rfam family "Bacterial small subunit ribosomal RNA", at positions 33 to 944 of the family's 1533-position model. The record is from RNAcentral.
ACGCUAGCUACAGGCUUAACACAUGCAAGUCGAGGGGAAACGGCAUUAAGUGCUUGCACUUUUUGGACGUCGACCGGCGCACGGGUGAGUAACGCGUAUCCAACCUUCCCAUGACUAAGGGAUAACCUGCCGAAAGGCAGACUAAUACCUUAUGGUCUUCACUGACGGCAUCAGAUGUGAAGUAAAGAUUUAUCGGUUAUGGAUGGGGAUGCGUCUGAUUAGUUAGUUGGCGGGGUAACGGCCCACCAAGGCAACGAUCAGUAGGGGUUCUGAGAGGAAGGUCCCCCACAUUGGAACUGAGACACGGUCCAAACUCCUACGGGAGGCAGCAGUGAGGAAUAUUGGUCAAUGGGCGAGAGCCUGAACCAGCCAAGUAGCGUGCAGGACGACGGCCCUAUGGGUUGUAAACUGCUUUUGUAUGGGGAUAAAGUCAAUCACGUGUGAUUGUUUGCAGGUACCAUACGAAUAAGGACCGGCUAAUUCCGUGCCAGCAGCCGCGGUAAUACGGAAGGUCCGGGCGUUAUCCGGAUUUAUUGGGUUUAAAGGGAGCGUAGGCUGGAGAUUAAGUGUGUUGUGAAAUGUAGACGCUCAACGUCUGACUUGCAGCGCAUACUGGUUUCCUUGAGUACGCACAACGUUGGCGGAAUUCGUCGUGUAGCGGUGAAAUGCUUAGAUAUGACGAAGAACUCCGAUUGCGAAGGCAGCUGACGGGAGCGCAACUGACGCUGAAGCUCGAAGGUGCGGGUAUCGAACAGGAUUAGAUACCCUGGUAGUCCGCACAGUAAACGAUGGAUGCCCGCUGUUGGUACCUGGUAUCAGCGGCUAAGCGAAAGCAUUAAGCAUCCCACCUGGGGAGUACGCCGGCAACGGUGAAACUCAAAGGAAUUGACGGGGGCCCGCACAAGCGGAGGAACAUGUGG